Molecule: ribosomal RNA, 461 nt
Filed under: uncultured bacterium
Lineage: Bacteria
Description: SSU rRNA
Rfam family: Bacterial small subunit ribosomal RNA
Source: RNAcentral
AGAAUCAACGCUGGCGGCGUGCCUAACACAUGCAAGUCGCACGAGAAAGGGGAGCAAUCCCUGAGUACAGUGGCGCACGGGUGAGUAACACGUGAAUAAUCUACCUCCGAGUGGGGAAUAACUGAGAGAAAUCUUAGCUAAUACCGCAUAAUACCCACGGGUCAAAGCAGUAAUGCGCUUGGAGAGGAGUUCGCGGCAGAUUAGUUAGUUGGCGGGGUAAUGGCCCACCAAGACGAUGAUCUGUAUCCGGCCUGAGAGGGCGCACGGACACACUGGAACUGAAACACGGUCCAGACUCCUACGGGAGGCAGCAGUGGGGAAUUUUUGCGCAAUGGGGGAAACCCUGACGCAGCAACGCCGCGUGGAGGAUGAAGCCCCUUGGGGUGUAAACUCCUUUCGAUCGGGAAGAUAAUGACGGUACCGAUAUAAGAAGCCCCGGCUAACUUCGCGCCAGCAGCCGC